UACGAAGGGGGCUAGCGUUGUUCGGAAUUACUGGGCGUAAAGGGCGCGUAGGCGGGAUGGCAAGUCGGUCGUGAAAUCCUUCGGCUCAACCGAAGAACGUCGGCCGAUACUGCCGUUCUUGAGGGAUGCAGAGGAGAUUGGAAUUCCCGGUGUAGCGGUGAAAUGUGUAGAGAUCGGGAGGAACACCGGUGGCGAAGGCGGGUCUCUGGGCAUCUCCUGACGCUGAGGCGCGAAAGCGUGGGGAGCAAACGGG
RNAcentral lists this ribosomal RNA (253 nucleotides) under uncultured bacterium. RNAcentral describes it as "partial 16S ribosomal RNA". It matches the Rfam family "Bacterial small subunit ribosomal RNA", at positions 524 to 776 of the family's 1533-position model. The record is from RNAcentral.